RNAcentral lists this unclassified non-coding RNA (372 nucleotides) under soil metagenome. RNAcentral describes it as "partial contains 5.8S ribosomal RNA, internal transcribed spacer 2, and large subunit ribosomal RNA". The stretch from base 1 to 120 matches the Rfam family "5.8S ribosomal RNA", at positions 35 to 154 of the family's 154-position model. The record is from RNAcentral.
GAUGAAGAACGUAGCGAAAUGCGAUAACUAAUGUGAAUUGCAGAAUUCCGUGAAUCAUCGAGUCUUUGAACGCACAUUGCGCCCCCUGGUAUUCCGGGGGGCAUGCCUGUCCGAGCGUCAUUGCAACCCUCAAGCACGGCUUGUCUAAUGGGCGGUUCGUCUGCGGCCAUCCGCCGGAGACGCCCCCGAAAUGUAGUGGGGAUGUUCGCUAAAUCGCAGCGUCAGGAAUGGAAAUAAACAAUGCUGACGGCUCGAUGUCGAACGUCCACCUAAGGCGUGCCGCCCCCCGGGGUGUGCCGCCCAACCUCUCUCGGUUGACCUCGGAUCAGGUAGGGAUACCCGCUGAACUUAAGCAUAUCAAUAAGCGGAGGA